This 490-nucleotide ribosomal RNA is filed under the name uncultured bacterium. RNAcentral describes it as "partial 16S ribosomal RNA". It matches the Rfam family "Bacterial small subunit ribosomal RNA", at positions 30 to 507 of the family's 1533-position model. The record is from RNAcentral.
AUUGAACGCUGGCGGCAUGCCUUACACAUGCAAGUCGAACGGCAGCAUGAUCUAGCUUGCUAGAUUGAUGGCGAGUGGCGAACGGGUGAGUAAUACAUCGGAACGUGCCCUGUAGUGGGGGAUAACUAGUCGAAAGAUUAGCUAAUACCGCAUACGACCUGAGGGUGAAAGUGGGGGACCGCAAGGCCUCAUGCUAUAGGAGCGGCCGAUGUCUGAUUAGCUAGUUGGUGAGGUAAAGGCUCACCAAGGCGACGAUCAGUAGCUGGUCUGAGAGGACGAUCAGCCACACUGGGACUGGGACACGGCCCAGACUCCUACGGGAGGCAGCAGUGGGGAAUUUUGGAAAAUGGGCGGAAGCCUGAUCCAGCAAUGCCGCGUGGUUGAAGAAGGCCUUCGGGUUGUAAAGCCCUUUUGUCCGGAAAGAAAUGGCUCUGGUUAAUACCUGGGGUCGAUGACGGUACCGGAAGAAUAAGGACCGGCUAACUACGUG